CCCUUAGAUGGUCUGGGCGGCACGCGCGCUACAAUGAUGCAUUCAAAAAGUCUUCUGACCUUAGAAGGUUGGGUAUUCUCCAAAGUGCAUCGUGAUGGGAAUAGUUUAUUGCAAUUUUUAAUCUUGAACGAGGAAUUCCUAGUAAGUACAGGUCAUCAACUUGUGUUGAUUACGUCCCUGCCCUUUGUACACACCGCCCGUCGCUCCUACUGAUUGAGUGCCUCGGUGAAUUCUUUGAUCUUCUGUCGAUUCAGUUCACUGAUCCGACGGUGGAAAGUUGAAUGAACUUCGUCACUUAGAGGAAGGAGAAGUCGUAACA
This 319-nucleotide ribosomal RNA is filed under the name uncultured eukaryote. Its description in RNAcentral is "partial 18S ribosomal RNA". It matches the Rfam family "Eukaryotic small subunit ribosomal RNA", at positions 1470 to 1796 of the family's 1831-position model. The record is from RNAcentral.